CGAAGUGUCACUAGCACCUGCCGAGACACCUAGACAUGUAAAUGAACAUACGAGAUCAAGAUCUUCACAAAUGUAGUAGUCAAGUGGGCGGGGUCGACCCACGACUCGCUUAUUUGGAGCAGCUGCAGCAUUGCCACUAAGAUGGUACAGCAGACACCGGAUGGGUGGCUCCUUGGUGAUUCUGGAUAUGAAUGUCGACCAUGGCUUCUAACACCCUUUACUGAGCCGCAGACACGCCCCCAAGAGUGGUUCAACUCCGCCCACACUAGAACAAGAAACACCAUUGAGCGUGCGUUUGCUGUUUUAAAGGCAAGGUUUAGGUGUUUGCACAAGUCCUCUGGAUGUCUGUGGUUCAGCCCAGACAGGUGCUCUGUGGUAAUUAU
Long non-coding RNA from Haliotis rubra (blacklip abalone), 383 nucleotides. RefSeq lists it as uncharacterized. Lineage: Eukaryota; Metazoa; Mollusca; Gastropoda; Lepetellida; Haliotidae. The record is from RefSeq and is a predicted model, not a curated record. The transcript has 4 exons.